This is a non-coding RNA of Ovis aries (sheep), 46 nucleotides long. NCBI's taxonomy places the organism in Eukaryota, Metazoa, Chordata, Mammalia, Artiodactyla, Bovidae. The record is from Rfam.
AAACAGGUUCUAUAAAGAACCACAAAAUAAAUAUUUUAGAUUUGCG